This 668-nucleotide ribosomal RNA is filed under the name uncultured bacterium. RNAcentral's name for it is "bacterial SSU rRNA". It matches the Rfam family "Bacterial small subunit ribosomal RNA", at positions 111 to 794 of the family's 1533-position model. The record is from RNAcentral.
UAACGCGUGGGUAACCUGCCUUACACUGGGGGAUAACACUUAGAAAUAGGUGCUAAUACCGCAUAAGCGCACGAAGCCGCAUGGAUUUGUGUGAAAAACUCCGGUGGUGUAAGAUGGACCCGCGUCUGAUUAGCUUGUUGGCGGGGUAACGGCCCACCAAGGCGACGAUCAGUGGCCGGCCUGAGAGGGUGGACGGCCACAUUGGGACUGAGACACGGCCCAAACUCCUACGGGAGGCAGCAGUGGGGGAUAUUGGACAAUGGGGGGAACCCUGAUCCAGCGACGCCGCGUGAGUGAAGAAGUAUUUCGGUAUGUAAAGCUCUGUCAGCAGGGAAGAAAGAAAUGACGGUACCUGACCAAGAAGCCCCGGCUAACUACGUGCCAGCAGCCGCGGUAAUACGUAGGGGGCAAGCGUUAUCCGGAAUUACUGGGUGUAAAGGGAGCGUAGACGGUUAAGUAAGUCUGGAGUGAAAGGCCGGGGCCCAACCCCGGGACUGCUCUGGAAACUAUUGAACUUGAGUGCAGGAGAGGUAAGCGGAAUUCCUAGUGUAGCGGUGAAAUGCGUAGAUAUUAGGAGGAACACCAGUGGCGAAGGCGGCUUACUGGACUGUAACUGACGUUGAGGCUCGAAAGCGUGGGGAGCAAACAGGAUUAGAUACCCUGGUAGU